GGCUCAGGAUGAACGCUAGCUACAGGCUUAACACAUGCAAGUCGAGGGGCAGCAUUGGGAUAGCUUGCUAUUCAGAUGGCGACCGGCGCACGGGUGAGUAACGCGUAUCCAACCUCCUGCCAGUAGGGAACAGCCCGGCGAAAGUCGGAUUAAUGCCCUAUGUUCUUCAAUGCGGACAUCUAAGUUGAAGGAAAGAUUCAUCGCUGGCAGAUGGGGAUGCGUCCGAUUAGCUUGCCGGCGGGGUAACGGCCCACCGGGGCGACGAUCGGUAGGGGUUCUGAGAGGAAGGUCCCCCACACUGGUACUGAGACACGGACCAGACUCCUACGGGAGGCAGCAGUGAGGAAUAUUGGUCAAUGGGCGUAAGCCUGAACCAGCCAAGUAGCGUGCAAGGAUGACGGCCCUACGGGUUGUAAACUGCUUUUAUGCGGGGAUAAAGUGCGGCACGUGUGCCGCUUUGCAGGUACCGCAUGAAUAAGGACCGGCUAAUUCCGUGCCAGCCGCAGC
Molecule: ribosomal RNA, 507 nt
Filed under: uncultured bacterium
Lineage: Bacteria
Description: bacterial SSU rRNA
Rfam family: Bacterial small subunit ribosomal RNA
Source: RNAcentral